RNAcentral lists this ribosomal RNA (300 nucleotides) under Triticum aestivum (bread wheat). Its description in RNAcentral is "partial small subunit ribosomal RNA". The record is from RNAcentral. Lineage: Eukaryota; Viridiplantae; Streptophyta; Magnoliopsida; Poales; Poaceae.
AUGAAGAUUAGGAAAGAAGGAUAUGUUCCUGAUAUGGAUUAUGUCCUUGUGCGUGUAGAUGAUCAAGAGAGGGAGACAAACUUACAGUACCACAGCAAGAAGAUCGCGCUCGCAUUUGCACUGAUCCAGAUGCCUACAGGGGCAACAAUUCGGAUCAUGAAGAAUAUUAGGAUAUGUGGGGAUUGCCACUCUGCAUUCAAAUACGUCUCCAAAGUUUUUAAAAGGGAGAUUGUUGUGAGGGACACUAAUAGAUUUCACCAUUUCAGUAAUGGGUCUUGUUCCUGUGGAGAUUACUGGUGA